AGAGACCCCUCCCCUCGUGGCGGGGGGAGAAAAGUUCCUCUGGGGCCCCCACCGAUUCUUCGUGUGAACAAACCAGGUCGAGGCUCGGGACCGAACCCGUCCCCCAUCAGAGGACCUCAUCGCAACACAGUGGAAAAGCCGGGCGAUAACUCUUGGAGGCCUCAGCCAGACGAUCCUCCAGCCUGGAACAAACCUCCAACUCUUCCCCCGACCCCGACCUCCGUAAGCCGGAGCGACUCCUCCGCCAGACCGGCUGCCACCAGGUCAACAUCAGAUAUUAAAGCUUACAGACAUAUAUCCACCAGAGAGGAAUGAGUCCUAAACCCUGAGUCAGCA
Long non-coding RNA from Notothenia coriiceps (black rockcod), 336 nucleotides. RefSeq lists it as uncharacterized. The record is from RefSeq and is a predicted model, not a curated record. Lineage: Eukaryota; Metazoa; Chordata; Actinopteri; Perciformes; Nototheniidae. The transcript is spliced from 5 exons.